UAGGGAAUCUUCGGCAAUGGGCGAAAGCCUGACCGAGCAACGCCGCGUGAAUGAUGAAGGCCUUCGGGUUGUAAAAUUCUGUUAUAAGGGAAGAAUGGCUCUAGUCGGAAAUGGCUAGAGUGUGACGGUACCUUAUGAGAAAGCCACGGCUAACUACGUGCCAGCAGCCGCGGUAAUACGUAGGUGGCGAGCGUUAUCCGGAAUUAUUGGGCGUAAAGAGCGAGCAGGUGGUUGAUUAAGUCUGAUGUGAAAGCCCACGGCUUAACCGUGGAGGGGCAUUGGAAACUGGUCAACUUGAGUGUAGAAGAGGGAAGUGGAAUUCCAUGUGUAGCGGUGAAAUGCGUAGAGAUAUGGAGGAACACCAGUGGCGAAGGCGGCUUCCUGGUCUGUAACUGACACUGAGGCGCGAAAGCGUGGGGAGCAAACA
RNAcentral lists this ribosomal RNA (427 nucleotides) under uncultured prokaryote. RNAcentral describes it as "bacterial SSU rRNA". It matches the Rfam family "Bacterial small subunit ribosomal RNA", at positions 355 to 774 of the family's 1533-position model. The record is from RNAcentral.